AGUUAAGCGUGCUUGCGCGAGAGUAGUACUAGGAUGGGUGACCUCCUGGAAAGUCCUCGUGUUGCAUCCCUC
RNAcentral lists this ribosomal RNA (72 nucleotides) under Oryza sativa Japonica Group (Japanese rice). Lineage: Eukaryota; Viridiplantae; Streptophyta; Magnoliopsida; Poales; Poaceae. The record is from RNAcentral.